Molecule: long non-coding RNA, 464 nt
Filed under: Androctonus crassicauda
Lineage: Eukaryota; Metazoa; Arthropoda; Arachnida; Scorpiones; Buthidae
Source: RNAcentral
AGGAGGCCCACUUUCUGUCAGAGUGGAGCGAACGAGACUAGGAAGUCAGAUGGAUGGUUUGACCAGUUGCGUGUUAGCAAAUUCACUUGUUCUUGGGAAGCAGGUUAAGUAGCAGAAAGUCCAGGAAAGAGAAAGGUUCAAGAAGGACAAGAGAAGUGCUUGUGGGGAAGCUGAUGGUUGAAGGAGAUGGAGGAAAGAAGUGAGUGAGCGAGAGAGCAGCAUUAAUGAGUACGUACAUGCACAGUAGAAACCAAAUAGCAUCAGUUAAGACCUAACAAUUAGAAACAUUUCCAAGCUAAGCACUAAACAGAAUGGGAACUGGACUUGUUCUGAUUGCAUCUUUAAGUUAUGGGAAAUGUGUUUUAUUUGUGGUGCCUCAGGAAGGUGGGCUGACUCGAGUGGUGAAGCCCGCAGCUACCCAGGACCCACAUGCUUGGCCCAGGCCAUGUCCCUUGUCCUUGAAA